GGGAGUUUAAAGGGCCCGCAGCUGCAGGAGGUGCACCGGGAGCGGCAAACGGGGCGGGGGCACCGGUCGCUUGAGUUGGGAUCGCCGGCUUACAGAGACACGUGACUGGAUUUAGGGACCACCCCAAUCCAGGAUGGCCUUAUCUCGAAACCUUGCCAAACUUCUAUCUGCAAAGACCUUUAUUCCAAAUAAGGUCACAUUCUGAGGUUUCCAGGAGACGCAGCUUUUGGAAGACACCACUCAACCCCCUGCACUUAGGUCUGGGAAUGGCCAAGCAAUACCCGACACUGGGCAGUGGACACAGGAGCACCCACAGCGCCUUUCCGGAGGGGGCCUGCUGGUCGACCUGGCAGAAGCCCAUCGUCCACUCUGCAUUGGAGAGGGCAGAGGUUUCCGAUGGAGAAAGUUUCUGAGAAUGACUGAAAACUUUUUUCUCUUUCAGAUAAAGUUUUAGUAUUGUAUUUAGAAUCUUUGAAAGAAAACUACUAUUUGCUUUUCUUA
This is a long non-coding RNA of Mustela lutreola (European mink), 501 nucleotides long. RefSeq lists it as uncharacterized. The transcript is spliced from 2 exons. Lineage: Eukaryota; Metazoa; Chordata; Mammalia; Carnivora; Mustelidae. The record is from RefSeq and is a predicted model, not a curated record.